This is a long non-coding RNA of Pogoniulus pusillus (Red-fronted tinkerbird), 501 nucleotides long. RefSeq lists it as uncharacterized. The transcript is spliced from 4 exons. NCBI's taxonomy places the organism in Eukaryota, Metazoa, Chordata, Aves, Piciformes, Lybiidae. The record is from RefSeq and is a predicted model, not a curated record.
ACGAAACUUCAACAGCUGUCUUCUAAGAAGCAGCCAGGAAGUGGCAUUUUUUAGCCGACAUUGUGAUAGCACAGCCCAGCUACCAGCACUGGGAGGUACUCCUGAAGCUAAGUCUGACCUUGGCUGCUCUUGAGCUCAGGAGCUGCAAGCCUCGGGAAAGCGUUGCAGUAUAUUCAGGAGUAAAGCUCACAGAUAAUCAACACUUGUGUGCUACAGCAUGAAGCUGAAGUUGGGAAGAUAGCGUCACGGUCAGAUGGGAGGAGACCAGCCUGCUUUGUGUUGAGCUGCUUUGAUUUGCAGGUGUUGAUUGAGUCCCAAGAUGCUCCUGACAUGUCAGAUCUGUGCAAGAUAAUGCAAACCAUAAUCAUCCUUAUGAAAUGAGGCAACUCCUACUUCUCCUUCAUACACCUACACCCAGAUUUGUGUUUUGACCAUCAAAAUCUUGCUGAAGAAAAUAACAUUCUGGCCAUCUAGGGAGAUCCUUUCCCCUUAACGCCCCCC